RNAcentral lists this ribosomal RNA (450 nucleotides) under uncultured bacterium. RNAcentral's name for it is "bacterial SSU rRNA". It matches the Rfam family "Bacterial small subunit ribosomal RNA", at positions 9 to 439 of the family's 1533-position model. The record is from RNAcentral.
GAGUUUGAUCAUGGCUCAGGAUGAACGCUGGCGGCGUGCUUAACACAUGCAAGUCGAACGAAGCACUUUAUUUGAUUUCCUUCGGGAUUGAUUAUUUUGUGACUGAGUGGCGGACGGGUGAGUAACGCGUGGGUAACCUGCCUUGUACAGGGGGAUAACAGUUGGAAACGGCUGCUAAUACCGCAUAAGCGCACGGCAUCGCAUGAUGCAGUGUGAAAACUCCGGUGGUAUAAGAUGGACCCCGCGUUGGAUUAGCUAGUUGGUGAGGUAACGGCCCACCAAGGCGACGAUCCAUAGCCGACCUGAGAGGGUGACCGGCCACAUUGGGACUGAGACACGGCCCAAACUCCUACGGGAGGCAGCAGUGGGGAAUAUUGCACAAUGGGCGAAAGCCUGAUGCAGCGACGCCGCGUGAGCGAAGAAGUAUUUCGGUAUGUAAAGCUCUAUCAG